This is a long non-coding RNA of Motacilla alba alba, 1177 nucleotides long. RefSeq lists it as uncharacterized. NCBI's taxonomy places the organism in Eukaryota, Metazoa, Chordata, Aves, Passeriformes, Motacillidae. The record is from RefSeq and is a predicted model, not a curated record. The transcript has 3 exons.
CCAGCUCAGCCUUUGCAGGUGGAUGCACAAACACUGGGGCAGCUUCAGGAAAGGAAAAAUCCACAUUUUUCAUGGAAAGAAACAGCUGGUUGUCUUCAGCUCCUUACUUGGGAUAACUGGACUCUGCAAAAUGUGCUGAAUGAGCAGCGAGCCCUAAACUCACCCAUGUUUUCAGGAGUGGGAUAAUCGAUGGAGUGCAUUGGAAAUACUGACAAGAAUUGCAAAUAAUUAGGAUUACUGAAAAGAUGGGGAGAGAUCCAUUACCCAGAGGGACAUCAGGGAGCUGCUCUGCUUUAAUCUUCCUGGCCCUGUUGGUAAGGACAAGGCUUGGGGUCCCCUGAGGAAUAUCCCAGCCCACUGAAUGUUGUAGUGUGUUUUCUUUAGUUUAUUAGCAUGUUUAUUGUUUGAUUGAUGAUGCUGUAAUUCCCUUACGCUGUUCUCUCCCUGCCUUUAGAGUGGCACAGGUUUCCCAUUUUGUAUCUUAUGUUUCUAAAACCAGACUUGGUCCCUCAUUGUUAUUUAGCUUAGUUAAGUGCUGGUUUUUCUGUUUGUUACCUAGCUACUCCCUGCCAAGUUUUAAACCCCCUACCCUUUCCCCAGAACUUCCUUUACACUUCCUUCCAUUAAAUAUCAAUCUCUCCCUGAACCUGCCUUUCCCUUUAGAAACUUCCCUGUCAGUUUUGUAUUCUCCCAAACCCCGUUAGUUUACUGAAGCUGUUCUCCUCCUGUGAAACUCUUCAUUGCUUUACACAUUGCAUUCCCACCUUGUAUCCCACCCCCCAGUUCUCCUGAGUAGUUAAAGAUUGUAUCCUCCCCUGAGACCUCCCCCCCUUUAUAAGCUAUUUUCUGCCCUCAGUUCGGGGUCCUGGGCCCUGGGGAGGGGGAGUUUCACCAUCAAAUAAAACCAGCCCGGGCCCCGUGCUGCUGCCCUUUUGUUUCUGCUCUGUGCCUCCACUGGUAGCUGGGAUUCAGCGCAGCUCAAAGCGGGGUCUGUCCCCCUGUCACCAUCUAGCCGGGACAUGAGACAGCAAAAAGCUCCAUUCCCAAGCUGGGGAGUUUCACAGAAUCACAGAAUUUCCAGGUUGGAAGAGACCUUUAAGAUCAUUGAGUCCAACCCAUGUUCUAACACCUCAACUAGAUCAUGGCACCCAGUGCCACAUCCAGGCUUUUUUUAAAC